AACCUCUGCAAUAGGCGAAAGCUUGACAGGGUUACUCUGAGUGAUUUCCGUUAAGGAGAUCUUUUGGCACCUCUAAAAAUGGUGCAGAAUAAGGGGUGGGCAAGUCUGGUGUCAGCCGCCGCGGUAAUACCAGCACCCCGAGUGGUCGGGACGUUUAUUGGGCCUAAAGCAUCCGUAGCCGGUUCUACAAGUCUUCCGUUAAAUCCAACUGCUUAACAGGUGGGCUGCGGAAGAUACUAUAGAGCUAGGAGGCGGGAGAGGCAAGCGGUACUCGAUGGGUAGGGGUAAAAUCCGUUGAUCCAUUGAAGACCACCAGUGGCGAAGGCGGCUUGCCAGAACGCGCUCGACGGUGAGGGAUGAAAGCUGGGGGAGCAAACCGGA
Molecule: ribosomal RNA, 381 nt
Filed under: uncultured archaeon
Lineage: Archaea
Description: bacterial SSU rRNA
Rfam family: Archaeal small subunit ribosomal RNA
Source: RNAcentral